Molecule: long non-coding RNA, 224 nt
Filed under: Lathyrus oleraceus (garden pea)
Lineage: Eukaryota; Viridiplantae; Streptophyta; Magnoliopsida; Fabales; Fabaceae
Description: Pisum sativum (pea) long non-coding RNA (PSAT_LNC040299)
Source: RNAcentral
UUUCCUUGUUAACUGCGGUAACUGAGUUACUUUUAUUAUUUUUGUCAUUGUUAAUCUAUCAUGAACCUCACAUAAACAAACAAAAAAUUCAGUAGCACUGCACUAAUUAACAAUAACUUAAAAAAUAGAAAAAGAAAAUAACAAGAAAAUAAAAUAGAAAAUAAAAAUAAAAAUAGAAAUAAAAAUUAAAAUUUCAAGUAUUAACAAGCAAAAAAAUAUAUAAC